GCUUUCAACUGAAACAAUUUAGCUUCAGUUACCUCCGUUCAAAUCCACUAUCCGUUCUAAAAACAUGUCAGCUGUUACAUUUUAUGCAUUAACCACAGCUGCAGUUCUCUUCACUGAAGCGAAUUGUGCAGAUUCGAUCUCACAGGAGCCAGCUAUAGCAAAACAGCUUGAAGGACAGUCGGUGAACAUUAACUUUAACUAUUCGAUCAAAAUAGCUACUUCAUAUUCCUUGCAAUUGUACCGGCAAGACCUGGGUAAAUCACCGACACUUUUGAUCUACAUCCUUCAAUCCGGAUAUGUUCUCAGAUCAGAUGGCGUGGGAAAUCGAUUUUCUGCAGCUCUGGACACUUCGAAAAGUGAGGGGAAUUUCUCCAUUGGUGACCUACGACUGUCUGACAGCGCUGUGUAUUACUGUGUGCUGAGAGACACAGUAACAGGAACCAGAGCGAGCCUCGUGCAAAAACAUUGCUGUAAUGGAACAAGUUGA
Molecule: non-coding RNA, 487 nt
Organism: Rhincodon typus (whale shark)
Lineage: Eukaryota; Metazoa; Chordata; Chondrichthyes; Orectolobiformes; Rhincodontidae
Source: the annotation of a RefSeq genome assembly